This 441-nucleotide ribosomal RNA is filed under the name uncultured bacterium. RNAcentral describes it as "partial 16S ribosomal RNA". It matches the Rfam family "Bacterial small subunit ribosomal RNA", at positions 338 to 795 of the family's 1533-position model. The record is from RNAcentral.
CCUACGGGGGGCAGCAGUGGGGGAUAUUGCACAAUGGGGGGAACCCUGAUGCAGCGACGCCGCGUGGGUGAAGGAGUGCUUCGGUAUGUAAAGCCCUAUCGGCAGGGAAGAAGCAAGACGGUACCUGACUAAGAAGCCCCGGCUAACUACGUGCCAGCAGCCGCGGUAAUACGUAGGGGGCGAGCGUUAUCCGGAUUCACUGGGUGUAAAGGGAGCGUAGACGGCCAUGCAAGCCAGGGGUGAAAGCCCGGGGCUCAACCCCGGGACUGCCCUGGGAACUGCAUGGCUGGAGUGCGGGAGGGGCAGGCGGAAUUCCUGGUGUAGCGGUGAAAUGCGUAGAUAUCAGGAGGAACACCGGCGGCGAAGGCGGCCUGCUGGACCGCGACUGACGUUGAGGCUCGAAAGCGUGGGGAGCGAACAGGAUUAGAUACCCGAGUAGUC